RNAcentral lists this ribosomal RNA (1050 nucleotides) under Ricasolia amplissima. RNAcentral's name for it is "SSU rRNA". It matches the Rfam family "Bacterial small subunit ribosomal RNA", at positions 167 to 1143 of the family's 1533-position model. Lineage: Eukaryota; Fungi; Ascomycota; Lecanoromycetes; Peltigerales; Lobariaceae. The record is from RNAcentral.
UCCCUAAUAUUAACAAAGAAACAAAGGUUUGUGUUCGCUCUAAGAAUUUUUUAUCUCGUGUAUUAGUAGUUAAGGUAAACUAGAACUAGCUUUAUUGUAUACACGUAGUCGAAACUGAAAGGUUGAUCGAUCACAAUGUGGCCUGAACAAAGCCCAUGACAAAAGUAGCAGCAGUGAGGAAUAUUGGUCAAUAGCCUAACGGCUGAACCAGCAACUUGGAGGAAUGAAAAGCGAAAGCUAAUUGCAUUUACUUAAAAUUAAAUUUUAAGAGAGUGUCCCUUUUUAUUUAUAAAAAAUUGGAUGGCUUUUAAGAGAGUGGUCCCUUUUUAUUUUAAAAAUUUGAAAACCUUUUAAAGAGGAAGGGUCCAUUUUUUAUGUAGUUACUACUUUGUAGUUUAAAAUUCUAGAUAGAAUUAUGAUGAUGACAUUAUCUAUCUAUUAGUCUUGACCAAAUUACGUGCCAGCAGUCGCGGUAAUACGUAAAAGACAAGUGUUAUUCAUCUUUAUUGGGUUUAAAGAGUACCAAGACGGUUAAUAAAGCCCAAAAUACAUGAACACAGGGGACACAUUAACUAGAGUUAUAUGAAAGGAAGCACUAAAGUACUGUUGAGUGUAGAGAUAAAAUUCUAUCAUACCAGAUAAAGGCACAGAUUUAUGCGAAGGCAUCUUCUUAUGUAAUAACUGACGUUGUAGGACGAAGGCUUUUUAAGUGAAGAGGAUUAGAGACCCUUGUAAUUAAGCAGAAAAUGAUGAAUGUCAUAGGUUUAAUAUAUUAUUGGGUCUAUAAAUGAAAGUGUAAGCAUUCCACUCAAGAGUAAUUUGGCAACAUUGGAACUGAAAUCAUUAGACCGUUUCUGAAACCAGUAGUGAAGUAUGUUGUUUAAUUAGAUGAUACACAAAAAACCUUACCACAAUUUGAAUAUAUAUCUUUAAAGAUAUUUACAAGCGUUGCACGGCUGUCUUCAGUUAAUGUCGUGAGAUUUUGGUUAGUUCCAUAAAAUUAACGUAAACCCUCGUUUUAUUUAGAAAUAAAAUUUAGAUCUGUUUCAA